GAACUGAAGAGUUUGAUCAUGGCUCAGAUUGAACGCUGGCGGCAGGCCUAACACAUGCAAGUCGAGCGGAUGAAGGGAGCUUGCUCCUGGAUUCAGCGGCGGACGGGUGAGUAAUGCCUAGGAAUCUGCCUGGUAGUGGGGGAUAACGGUCCGGAAACGGGCGCUAAUACCGCAUACGUCCUGAGGGAGAAAGUGGGGGAUCUUCGGACCUCACGCUAUCAGAUGAGCCUAGGUCGGAUUAGCUAGUUGGUGGGGUAAAGGCCUACCAAGGCGACGAUCCGUAACUGGUCUGAGAGGAUGAUC
Molecule: ribosomal RNA, 303 nt
Filed under: Pseudomonas aeruginosa 18A
Lineage: Bacteria; Pseudomonadati; Pseudomonadota; Gammaproteobacteria; Pseudomonadales; Pseudomonadaceae
Description: Small Subunit Ribosomal RNA; ssuRNA; SSU rRNA
Rfam family: Bacterial small subunit ribosomal RNA
Source: RNAcentral